RNAcentral lists this ribosomal RNA (530 nucleotides) under uncultured Nitrospira sp. RNAcentral's name for it is "bacterial SSU rRNA". It matches the Rfam family "Bacterial small subunit ribosomal RNA", at positions 364 to 896 of the family's 1533-position model. The record is from RNAcentral. Lineage: Bacteria; Pseudomonadati; Nitrospirota; Nitrospiria; Nitrospirales; Nitrospiraceae.
UUGCGCAAUGGGCGAAAGCCUGACGCAGCGACGCCGCGUGGGGGAUGAAGGUCUUCGGAUUGUAAACCCCUUUCGGGAGGGAAGAUGGGAAUGGGGUAACCCAUUUGGACGGUACCUCCAGAAGCAGCCACGGCUAACUUCGUGCCAGCAGCCGCGGUAAUACGAAGGUGGCAAGCGUUGUUCGGAUUUACUGGGCGUACAGGGAGCGUAGGCGGUUCGGUAAGCCCUCUGUGAAAUCUCCAGGCUUAACCUGGAACAGUCGGAGGGGACUGCUGGGCUAGAGGACGGGAGAGGAGCGCGGAAUUCCCGGUGUAGCGGUGAAAUGCGUAGAGAUCGGGAGGAAGGCCGGUGGCGAAGGCGGCGCUCUGGAACGUUUCUGACGCUGAGGCUCGAAAGCGUGGGGAGCAAACAGGAUUAGAUACCCUGGUAGUCCACGCCUUAAACUAUGAAUACUAAGUGUCGGCGGUUUACCGCCGGUGCCGCAGCUAACGCAUUGAGUAUUCCGCCUGGGAAGUACGGCCGCAAGGUUG